RNAcentral lists this ribosomal RNA (1244 nucleotides) under metagenome. RNAcentral describes it as "bacterial LSU rRNA". It matches the Rfam family "Bacterial large subunit ribosomal RNA", at positions 1564 to 2817 of the family's 2925-position model. The record is from RNAcentral.
UGAAUACGAGAUGCUACGGCGUCGAAGCAGUGUAUGUCAGACUUCCAAGAAAAGCUCGCAAUGUCAUAAAUAAAGAAUGCCUGUACCAUAACCGACACAGGUGGGUAGGUAGAGUAUACUAAGGGGCGCGAGAUAACUCUCUCUAAGGAACUCGGCAAAAUAACUCCGUAACUUCGGGAGAAGGAGUGCCUUCCUUAAGAAGGUUGCAAUAACAAGAUCCAAGCAACUGUUUAUCAAAAACACAGGUCUCCGCUAAGUCGUAAGACGAUGUAUGGGGGCUGACGCCUGCCCAGUGCCAGAAGGUUAAAGAAGCUGGUUAGCAAUAGCGAAGCUGGUGACUGAAGCCCUGGUGAACGGCGGCCGUAACGAUAACGGUCCUAAGGUAGCGAAAUUCCUUGUCGGGUAAGUUCCGACCCGCACGAAAGGCGUAAUGAUUUGGAUACUGUCUCGGAGAGGGACUCGGUGAAAUAGACUUGUCUGUGAAGAUGCGGACUACCUGCACCAGGACAGAAAGACCCUAUGAAGCUUUACUGUAACCUGAAAUUGAAAUUGGACUUUAUUUGCGCAGUAUAGGUGGGAGGCGUUGAAAGUAAUCUUGCGGGAUUAGUGGAGCCAUCAGUGAGAUACCACUCCUAUAAUGUUAGAUUUCUAACUUUGGAUCAUGAUCUGGUCAAAGAACAGUUUCAGGCGGGCAGUUUGACUGGGGCGGUCGCCUCCCAAAUGGUAACGGAGGCGUACAAAGGUUUCCUCUGAACGGGUAGAAAUCGUAUCUAGAGUGUAAAGGCAUAAGGAAGCUUGACUGUGAGACCUACAAGUCGAGCAGGGACGAAAGUCGGUCUUAGUGAUCUGACGGUGCUGAGUGGAAAGGCCGUCACUCAACGGAUAAAAGUUACUCUAGGGAUAACAGGCUGAUCUCCCCCAAGAGUUCACAUCGACGGGGAGGUUUGGCACCUCGAUGUCGGCUCAUCGCAUCCUGGGCGGUAGUACGUCCCAAGGGUUGGGCUGUUCGCCCAUGAAAGCGGUACGCGAGCUGGGUUCAGAACGUCGUGAGACAGUUCGGUCCAUAUCCGGUGUAGGCGUUAGAAUAUUGAGAGGAGCCUUCUCUAGUACGAGAGGACCGAGAAGGACAUACCUCUGGUGUACCAGUUAUCGUGCCAACGGUAAACGCUGGGUAGCUAUGUAUGGAGAGGAUAACCGCUGAAAGCAUCUAAGUGGGAAGCCCACCUCAAGAUGAGUAUUCUCAC